Molecule: ribosomal RNA, 379 nt
Filed under: uncultured eukaryote
Lineage: Eukaryota
Description: partial 18S ribosomal RNA
Rfam family: Eukaryotic small subunit ribosomal RNA
Source: RNAcentral
CAAUAGCGUAUAUUUAAGUUGUUGCAGUUAAAAAGCUCGUAGUUGGAUUUCGGAUGGGACUUGCCGGUCCGUCGUUUCGAUGUGCAUUGGCCAGUCCUAUCUUGUUGUCGGGGACUAGCUCCUGGGCUUCACUGUCCGGGACUAGGAGCUGACGAGGUUACUUUGAGUAAAUUAGAGUGUUCAAAGCAAGCCUACGCUCUGAAUACAUUAGCAUGGAAUAACACGAUAGGACUCUGGCUUAUCUUGUUGGUCUGUGAGACCAGAGUAAUGAUUAAGAGGGACAGUCGGGGGCAUUCGUAUUUCAUUGUCAGAGGUGAAAUUCUUGGAUUUAUGAAAGACGAACUUCUGCGAAAGCAUUUGUCAAGGAUGUUUUCAUUAA